AAGUGUUCCCUCAGUUCACAUAGACCAGGCUUCCUCUUUAGAGGCAUAAGCUGUAAAACAGGAGAGUCUGUUUUAAGAGGAUCUGUUUGAAGUUUAAUGUAACUGAAGUCCAUGCACCUGAAGCCAUUAAUUGAUAUAAGUGAAGUAAGUCUUUGGGUUUCCGGUAGCUCUGACUCAGAUUCUGCUUGCCUCUUCUCCAUGAGAUUACCAAGGCAUCAGGGCAGAGACUCCCUGAGGAUGAGUGGAUCUGGUUCAGAACAUCUGUGAACACAGAGGGAGUGGAAACUUCACUUUCAACAUCAUCAGCCAACUUCCCUCCCAUUACAAUUCUAUCUCAAGAUCAAGGUCAUGCAACAAAACCAGCAGCUUCUUCAAGUGGACUCUCUCUCCAGAAACAUCGUCUGGGCCUUCCUACAGCAUGGCAGCUGGGUUCCUGAAGAACAAAAGCAGAACUUUCCAAACGCUUAAAGGGCUAGGUCUGGAGCUGCACAGCUUCACAUCUGCCACGUGGUAUUGGCCAAAGCAAGUGACAAGGGCACUCCAAAUUCAAGGGAAGGGGAAAACAGAUUCCACCUUUGAUUGGAGGAAUAGCAGGAGAGCAUAGUGAGGGAAGAAGUUG
This 619-nucleotide long non-coding RNA is filed under the name Homo sapiens (human). RNAcentral describes it as "HSALNT0347114". Lineage: Eukaryota; Metazoa; Chordata; Mammalia; Primates; Hominidae. The record is from RNAcentral.